Molecule: long non-coding RNA, 207 nt
Organism: Lytechinus variegatus (green sea urchin)
Lineage: Eukaryota; Metazoa; Echinodermata; Echinoidea; Temnopleuroida; Toxopneustidae
Exons: 3
Source: RefSeq, a predicted model, not a curated record
AAACAACAAGCCUGCCCUCAUCCUGGCAAUAUAGAUUUUGAGGAUGGCUUUGAAUCUUGGACCAAUGAUCCUGACUUACUCCUGGGCCAAGGUAGUACUCCAACCUUCUCUACUGGACCAACAACAGAUCAUACACUUCGUACUUCUGAAGGUACCUUCGCUUACGUUGAAUCUACCAACACAGCUCCAGGAGAUAUAACUCGCUUG